Non-coding RNA from Mugil cephalus (flathead mullet), 376 nucleotides. The record is from the annotation of a RefSeq genome assembly. Lineage: Eukaryota; Metazoa; Chordata; Actinopteri; Mugiliformes; Mugilidae.
CAUGACUUUGAUCUGCGUCCUCAUCUGGACUCUCCUCUGCUGCUGCUUCACAGAGUCCAGAGGCCAGUACACAGUGACUCAGCCUGGAGUAGUGAGGUCUGCUCUAGGAGGAUCAGUCACCAUCACAUGUAGGACCAGUCAGAAUGUUUAUAAUGGCUACUAUUUAGCCUGGUACCAACAGAGAUAUGGAGGAGUUCCUAAACUUCUCAUUUACUUCAUUAGCACUCGAGUAUCAGGGACACCAGAUCGUUUUUCAGGCAGUGGAUCAAACUCUGACUUCACUCUGACCAUCAGUGGAGUCCAGAAUGAAGAUGAUGCAGUUUAUUACUGUCAGAGUCUUCACUAUCCCAACAGUCAGUGGGUGUUCACACAGUGA